RNAcentral lists this ribosomal RNA (430 nucleotides) under bacterium. RNAcentral's name for it is "partial 16S ribosomal RNA". It matches the Rfam family "Bacterial small subunit ribosomal RNA", at positions 355 to 776 of the family's 1533-position model. RNAcentral also lists the same sequence under 1 other name. The record is from RNAcentral.
UGGGGAAUAUUGGACAAUGGGCGGAAGCCUGAUCCAGCCAUGCCGCGUGUGUGAAGAAGGCCUUUUGGUUGUAAAGCACUUUAAGCGAGGAGGAGGCUACUUGGAUUAAUACUCUAGGAUAGUGGACGUUACUCGCAGAAUAAGCACCGGCUAACUCUGUGCCAGCAGCCGCGGUAAUACAGAGGGUGCGAGCGUUAAUCGGAUUUACUGGGCGUAAAGCGUGCGUAGGCGGCUUCUUAAGUCGGAUGUGAAAUCCCUGAGCUUAACUUAGGAAUUGCAUUCGAUACUGGGAAGCCAGAGUAUGGGAGAGGAUGGUAGAAUUCCAGGUGUAGCGGUGAAAUGCGUAGAGAUCUGGAGGAAUACCGAUGGCGAAGGCAGCCAUCUGGCCUAAUACUGACGCUGAGGUACGAAAGCAUGGGGAGCAAACAGG